Molecule: ribosomal RNA, 478 nt
Filed under: uncultured bacterium
Lineage: Bacteria
Description: partial 16S ribosomal RNA
Rfam family: Bacterial small subunit ribosomal RNA
Source: RNAcentral
GACGAACGCUGGCGGCGUGCUUAACACAUGCAAGUCGAACGGUAAGGCCCUUCGGGGUACACGAGUGGCGAACGGGUGAGUAACACGUGGGUGAUCUGCCCUGCACUUCGGGAUAAGCCUGGGAAACUGGGUCUAAUACCGGAUAGGACCACUGCCUGCAUGGGUGGUGGUGGAAAGCUUUUGCGGUGUGGGAUGGGCCCGCGGCCUAUCAGCUUGUUGGUGGGGUGAUGGCCUACCAAGGCGACGACGGGUAGCCGGCCUGAGAGGGUGACCGGCCACACUGGAACUGAGAUACGGCCCAGACUCCUACGGGAGGCAGCAGUGGGGAAUAUUGCACAAUGGGCGCAAGCCUGAUGCAGCGACGCCGCGUGAGGGAUGACGGCCUUCGGGUUGUAAACCUCUUCCAGCACCGACGAAGCGCAAGUGACGGUAGGUGCAGAAGAAGGACCGGCCAACUACGUGCCAGCCGCCGCUGUAA